GACGAACGCUGGCGGCGUGCUUAACACAUGCAAGUCGAACGAAAAGAGGGAAAGAGCCUGCUCUUUCCGGAAUUGAGUGGCAAACGGGUGAGUAACACGUAAACAACCUGCCUUCAGGAUGGGGACAACAGACGGAAACGACUGCUAAUACCGAAUAAGUUCCAAGAGCCGCAUGGCCCAUGGAAGAAAAGGUGGCCUCUACCUGUAAGCUAUCGCCUGAAGAGGGGUUUGCGUCUGAUUAGCUGGUUGGAGGGGUAACGGCCCACCAAGGCGACGAUCAGUAGCCGGUCUGAGAGGAUGAACGGCCACACUGGAACUGAGACACGGCCCAGACUCCUACGGGAGGCAGCAGUGGGGAAUCUUCCGCAAUGGGCGAAAGCCUGACGGAGCAACGCCGCGUGAGUGAUGACGGCCUUCGGGUUGUAAAACUCUGUGAUCCGGGACGAAAAGGCAGAGUGCGAAGAACAAACUGCAUUGACGGUACCGGAAAAGCAAGCCACGGCUAACUACGUG
This 513-nucleotide ribosomal RNA is filed under the name uncultured bacterium. RNAcentral's name for it is "partial 16S ribosomal RNA". It matches the Rfam family "Bacterial small subunit ribosomal RNA", at positions 28 to 507 of the family's 1533-position model. The record is from RNAcentral.